Long non-coding RNA from Lactuca sativa (garden lettuce), 1102 nucleotides. RefSeq lists it as uncharacterized. Lineage: Eukaryota; Viridiplantae; Streptophyta; Magnoliopsida; Asterales; Asteraceae. The record is from RefSeq and is a predicted model, not a curated record.
AUCGUUUAGAUAUAUUCGAUUUAUGUAUAACCACAUUAACUAAAAUAUGAAACUAAAUGUCAGUAUCUUCAUCUCAAAUAUUUUCUUCCUAUCACAUGUCAUUAAAAACUGGACAUUGUGGCCCAUUAAUUCUAUAUGGGCUUGAUCCAAUACACAAUCGGAAUUCGGAAAUCUGGAAAAAGCUAUUGGGCAAAUUAGAGUAGUGGGGGCGUUGAUACUGAGAGCAUCAGUAAAGACGUAGGGAAAAACCAGCAACUAAACGGCAAGAGGAGAGUGGCAGAGGAGUAAGAGAGCAGGAAAAUGGUGGAGGCACAGUUAGCGGCGGGUACUGGUUUGUUGAAGUUACCUCCAGUAACGUUUGUGACAGGAAACACGAAGAAGCUUGAGGAAGUUAAAGUAAUUUUAGGGAAAUCCAUUCCGUUUCAUCGCUUAAGCUCGAAUUGCCGGAACUGCAAGGCGAUCCUGAGGAUAUCGCGAAAGAGAAACUCGUUUGGCCGCUAACCAGGUGAAAGCUCGUUUGGCCGCUAACCAUGUAUAAAUGUCAUUCUUGCAAUUAAGAAGCAUGGCUGAGAGCCUGAGAAUCUGUGGGUUUAUUUGAUUUACGAUAUUGUAUUCAUGUAUACAUAGGAUGACUAUAGCAAAAAGUUUUGAUUUUGAGGCAAAGACUGAAAUUUUUGUUCAGAAAUUACCUGAUGGCAGAAAUACAGACAAACUUCGCAGAAGAAAAUGGAAUCAAAGUGAGAACUUCAGUAUCUGCUACUAUAUCGAUCACGGAACAAUGAGAAAACAUGACCGGUUUUUAAUUAGCUGGCAGUUUAAUAGAGCCGAGGGGCAUUUUCGGGAUUUCAAAUAGUGAAAUGAGCGGGAAAAAACAAAUGUGGGACUCUUAGAGAGUGACACAUGGCGAUUUAGCGCUUAUUUAUUAUAAUAGGGGAUAACCGUUUAGUACACAGGUCUCACAAUUAUUUAUGGAUUAUGUAUCUUCCUUUUUUCGUCCGAAUGUAAUCCGGAAAGUUCUAGAAUCCAGAAUGACCUUGAAUAUUUUUUAUUCAUCAAAAUAAGUAGUAUUUAAAUGUGACAAAAAAUUUGGUCAUUUUUAUUA